Molecule: ribosomal RNA, 477 nt
Filed under: Triticum aestivum (bread wheat)
Lineage: Eukaryota; Viridiplantae; Streptophyta; Magnoliopsida; Poales; Poaceae
Description: partial small subunit ribosomal RNA
Source: RNAcentral
AUGUCUGGACCUCUCCUGUUGCAAGUAACACGGGCUAUCUUUAUUACCUUGUCAUACUUGAUGAUUUUUCGCACUAUGUGUGGACCUUCCCGUUGCGGCGAAAGUCGGACUCUGUUGCCACUCUCACCGCAUUCUACUCCUAUGUCUCCACGCAGUUUGGACAUCCCAUUCAUGCGUUGCAAACAGACAAUGGGAAGGAGUUCGAUAACCUUGCGAUUCGCAACCUUCUCGCCACACACAGCACGAUCUUUCGUCUCACUUGCCCGUAUAGUUCGCAACAAAACGGCCGCGCUGAGCGCGUGCUUCACACUCUCAAUGACUGCGUUCGCACCCUCCUCUUUCAUGCCAACGUGCCCCCAUGUUUUUGGCCAGACGCGCUUGCCACCGCAUCACUACUCAUUAACAUUCGUCCUUGUCGCACUCGCGGGAAUUUGCACCUCAUCACCUCUUGUUUGGCACGCCACCCUCCUAUGCUGA